UCGAGCGAACUGAUUACGAAGCUUGCUUCUAUGACGUUAGCGGCGGACGGGUGAGUAACACGUGGGCAACCUGCCUGUAAGACUGGGAUAACUUCGGGAAACCGAAGCUAAUACCGGAUAGGAUCUUCUCCUUCAUGGGAGAUGAUUGAAAGAUGGUUUCGGCUAUCACUUACAGAUGGGCCCGCGGUGCAUUAGCUAGUUGGUGAGGUAACGGCUCACCAAGGCAACGAUGCAUAGCCGACCUGAGAGGGUGAUCGGCCACACUGGGACUGAGACACGGCCCAGACUCCUACGGGAGGCAGCAGUAGGGAAUCUUCCGCAAUGGACGAAAGUCUGACGGAGCAACGCCGCGUGAGUGAUGAAGGCUUUCGGGUCGUAAAACUCUGUUGUUAGGGAAGAACAAGUACGAGAGUAACUGCUCGUACCUUGACGGUACCUAACCAGAAAGCCACGGCUAACUACGUGCCAGGGGGGGGCGGUAAUACGUAGGUGGCAAGCGUUAUCCGGAAUUAUUGGGCGUAAAGCGCGCGCAGGCGGUUUCUUAAGUCUGAUGUGAAAGCCCACGGCUCAACCGUGGAGGGUCAUUGGAAACUGGGGAACUUGAUGCAGAAGAGAAAAGCGGAAUUCCACGUGUAGCGGUGAAAUGCGUAGAGAUGUGGAGGAACACCAGUGGGAAGGCGGCUU
RNAcentral lists this ribosomal RNA (684 nucleotides) under Priestia aryabhattai. RNAcentral's name for it is "bacterial SSU rRNA". It matches the Rfam family "Bacterial small subunit ribosomal RNA", at positions 62 to 727 of the family's 1533-position model. Lineage: Bacteria; Bacillati; Bacillota; Bacilli; Caryophanales; Bacillaceae. The record is from RNAcentral.